GAUGAACGCUGGCGGCGUGCCUAAUACAUGCCAGUCGAGCGAACGGACGAGAAGCUUGCUUCUCUGAUGUUAGCGGCGGACGGGUGAGUAACACGUGGAUAACCUACCUAUAAGACUGGGAUAACUUCGGGAAACCGGAGCUAAUACCGGAUAAUAUUUUGAACCGCAUGGUUCAAAAGUGAUAGACGGUCUUGCUGUCACUUAUAGAUGUAUCCGCGCUGCAUUAGCUAGUUGGUAAGGUAACGGCUUACCAAGGCCACGAUGCAUAGCCGACCUGAGAGGAUGAUCGGCCACACUGGAACUGAGACACGGUCCAGACUCCUACGGGAGGCAGCAGUAGGGAAUCUUCCGCAAUGGGCGAAAGCCUGACGGAGCAACGCCGCGUGAGUGAUGAAGGUCUUCGGAUCGUAAAACUCUGUUGUUAGGGAAGAACAGAUGUGUAAGUAACUGUGCACAUCUUGACGGUACCUAAUCAGAAAGCCACGGCUAACUACGUG
This 497-nucleotide ribosomal RNA is filed under the name uncultured bacterium. RNAcentral's name for it is "partial 16S ribosomal RNA". It matches the Rfam family "Bacterial small subunit ribosomal RNA", at positions 28 to 507 of the family's 1533-position model. The record is from RNAcentral.